RNAcentral lists this ribosomal RNA (406 nucleotides) under uncultured bacterium. Its description in RNAcentral is "partial 16S ribosomal RNA". It matches the Rfam family "Bacterial small subunit ribosomal RNA", at positions 29 to 526 of the family's 1533-position model. The record is from RNAcentral.
AUUGAACGCUGGCGGCAGGCCUAACACAUGCAAGUCGAACGAGUGGCGGACGGGUGAGUAAUGUCUGGGAAACUGCCUGAUGGAGGGGGAUAACUACUGGAAACGGUAGCUAAUACCGCAUACCAUCGGAUGUGCCCAGAUGGGAUUGGCUCGUGGGUGGGGUAAAGGCUCACCUAGGCGACGAUCCCUAGCUGGGCUGAGAGGAGGACGAGCAACACUGGAACUGAGCCACGGUCAAGACUCCUACGGGAGGCAGCAGGGGGGAAUAUUGCACAAGGGGCGCAGGCCUGAUGCAGCCAUGCGGGGGGUAUGAAGAAGGCCUUCGGUUGGUAAAGUACUUUCAGCGGGGAGGCGUUACCCGCAGAAGAAGCACCGGCUAACUCCGUGCCAGCAGCCGCGGUAAUAC